GCGAGAAGAGCCUCUUCUUGGGAGCCCGAGAGGAGGGAGGCUGCUUGGCGGGACGACUCUGCUUCACAGUUCCCUGUUUUUCCGCCUCUAAAGCAGCCCUCACCGGGGUGUCCGUCCGGCCUUAGGGUAAGGCCGGACGAUGUCCGGGCUGAAUUCAACGGCCUCUCCCUCAGGCCGGACAGCUUCGUCAGGCCCGGCAGCUCGAUCAGGUACAUCCAUGCCUGCCAAAGGACACAUUUAAAAAAUACACACUUUUAAAUAAAUGUUUAUAAACACAGCUUCUCUGCCGUCCACUACCCUAUGGACUUAUUUUAUGAACUUGGACUUAUGGGACUAUUUACUUAUCUAUUAUUAACCUUUGUUUAAUCCUCUGUUGCUUCUGAUGAACAGUUCCUACCUGAAGUGGCACCUGGAGAAGCGCUGACCUCAUCACCCGAAGCCUGGGGAGGAGGACGGUCUGUCGAAUAGGCUCCGGCGAAGUCCUUUUCCUCAAAUGCAGAGGGGUUAAAAGGCCAGAUCCCUGGACUUGAGAACCCGGAGGUGGGACGUGUGAUUGUCCAGCAGGAGGAGCAGCUUCGACUCCUUGGACACACGGGUGUGACUGGUGAAGUGGGCCAGGUACAGGAGGAAGUCUGGCUCCUUCAUCCAGCCAGUUGGGUUGCCGCUGCCAGCACAGCCAACGGGUCCACCCCUCAGGAAGUGGUCUUUGAACCGCUUACGGGGGAAGAUGAAGAAUGGCGGAACAAGGUCGCCCUGAGCAUUGCCUGCCAGGGCAACUGUGACCAGGGUCCCCCUCUCCGCUGAGGUCACUGACCCGACCUGCUUCUGCCCCAUCUGGGCGACGACACGGUCUGGCACCUGGACAGUGGUGACCCCUGUAAAUAGUUGUGUGAGUAUAGUUUUGUGUAUAUAUAUAGUUGUGUGUGUAUAUAGUUGUGUUUUAUAUUAAUAAAGUUCAUAUUAAAUACC
Molecule: long non-coding RNA, 969 nt
Organism: Gadus macrocephalus (Pacific cod)
Lineage: Eukaryota; Metazoa; Chordata; Actinopteri; Gadiformes; Gadidae
Exons: 4
Source: RefSeq, a predicted model, not a curated record